Transfer RNA from Colletotrichum chlorophyti, 82 nucleotides. It matches the Rfam family "tRNA". Rfam says of the family: Transfer RNA (tRNA) molecules are approximately 80 nucleotides in length. Their secondary structure includes four short double-helical elements and three loops (D, anti-codon, and T loops). Further hydrogen bonds mediate the characteristic L-shaped molecular structure. tRNAs have two regions of fundamental functional importance: the anti-codon, which is responsible for specific mRNA codon recognition, and the 3' end, to which the tRNAs corresponding amino acid is attached (by aminoacyl-tRNA synthetases). tRNAs cope with the degeneracy of the genetic code in two manners: having more than one tRNA (with a specific anti-codon) for a particular amino acid; and 'wobble' base-pairing, i.e. permitting non-standard base-pairing at the 3rd anti-codon position. The record is from Rfam. NCBI's taxonomy places the organism in Eukaryota, Fungi, Ascomycota, Sordariomycetes, Glomerellales, Glomerellaceae.
GGCAAGAUGGCCGAGCGGUCUAAGGCGCCAGCUUCAGGUGCUGGUGUGGAAACACGCGCGAGUUCGAAUCUCGUUCUUGUCA